UACGUAGGGGGCAAGCGUUGUCCGGAUUUAUUGGGCGUAAAGAGCUCGUAGGUGGUUCGGUAAGUCGGGUGUGAAAACUCCGGGCUCAACCCGGAGACGCCACCCGAUACUGUCGUGACUGGAGUCCGGUAGGGGAGUGGGGAAUUCCUGGUGUAGCGGUGAAAUGCGCAGAUAUCAGGAGGAACACCGGUGGCGAAGGCGCCACUCUGGGCCGGUACUGACGCUGAGGAGCGAAAGCGUGGGUAGCAAACAGGA
This 255-nucleotide ribosomal RNA is filed under the name uncultured bacterium. RNAcentral describes it as "partial 16S ribosomal RNA". It matches the Rfam family "Bacterial small subunit ribosomal RNA", at positions 524 to 777 of the family's 1533-position model. The record is from RNAcentral.